CAGGACACCCAGUUAAAUGGGAAUUUCAGAUAAACAGUGAAUAAAUCUGUAGUAUACGUAUAUCCCACAUAUUACAUGUGACAUACUUAUGCUAAAAAUGUUGUUCAUCGUUUACCUGAAAUUCAAAUUUAACUGGGCAUCCUGUA
RNAcentral lists this microRNA precursor (146 nucleotides) under Vicugna pacos (alpaca). RNAcentral's name for it is "miRNA (ENSVPAG00000016271.1)". The record is from RNAcentral. Lineage: Eukaryota; Metazoa; Chordata; Mammalia; Artiodactyla; Camelidae.